UCCCAUGUGGUCUAGUGGUUAGGAUCUGGCGUUUUCACCGCCGUGGCCCGGGUUCGAUUCACGGCAUGGGAA
Molecule: transfer RNA, 72 nt
Filed under: Paramuricea clavata
Lineage: Eukaryota; Metazoa; Cnidaria; Anthozoa; Malacalcyonacea; Plexauridae
Rfam family: tRNA
About the family: Transfer RNA (tRNA) molecules are approximately 80 nucleotides in length.
Source: Rfam by way of RNAcentral